CCUUUUGUAUAAUGGGUCAGCGACUUAUAUUCUGUAGCAAGGUUAACCGUAUAGGGGAGCCGAAGGGAAACCGAGUCUUAACCGGGCGUUAAGUUGCAGGGUAUAGACCCGAAACCCGGUGAUCUAGCCAUGGGCAGGUUGAAGGUUGGGUAACACUAACUGGAGGACCGAACCGACUAAUGUUGAAAAAUUAGCGGAUGACCUGUGGCUGGGGGUGAAAGGCCAAUCAAACCGGGAGAUAGCUGGUUCUCCCCGAAAGCUAUUUAGGUAGCGCCUCGUGAAUUCAUCUCCGGGGGUAGAGCACUGUUUCGGCUAGGGGGCCAUCCCGGCUUACCAACCCGAUGCAAACUGCGAAUACCGGAGAAUGUUAUCACGGGAGACACACGGCGGGUGCUAACGUCCGUCGUGAAGAGGGAAACAACCCAGACCGCCAGCUAAGGUCCCAAAGUCAUGGUUAAGUGGGAAACGAUGUGGGAAGGCCCAGACAGCCAGGAUGUUGGCUUAGAAGCAGCCAUCAUUUAAAGAAAGCGUAAUAGCUCACUGGUCGAGUCGGCCUGCGCGGAAGAUGUAACGGGGCUAAACCAU
RNAcentral lists this ribosomal RNA (585 nucleotides) under Salmonella enterica. Its description in RNAcentral is "partial 23S ribosomal RNA". It matches the Rfam family "Bacterial large subunit ribosomal RNA", at positions 604 to 1190 of the family's 2925-position model. Lineage: Bacteria; Pseudomonadati; Pseudomonadota; Gammaproteobacteria; Enterobacterales; Enterobacteriaceae. The record is from RNAcentral.